GCCGGAGUGGCGGAAUUGCUAUACGCGCACGACUCAAAAUCGUGUGGAGGAAACUCCUUGAGGGUUGGAAUCCCUCCUCCGGAA
Molecule: transfer RNA, 84 nt
Filed under: Candidatus Wolfebacteria bacterium
Lineage: Bacteria; Candidatus Wolfeibacteriota
Description: tRNA-Leu
Rfam family: tRNA
About the family: Transfer RNA (tRNA) molecules are approximately 80 nucleotides in length. Their secondary structure includes four short double-helical elements and three loops (D, anti-codon, and T loops).
Source: RNAcentral